This 253-nucleotide ribosomal RNA is filed under the name uncultured bacterium. RNAcentral's name for it is "partial 16S ribosomal RNA". It matches the Rfam family "Bacterial small subunit ribosomal RNA", at positions 524 to 776 of the family's 1533-position model. The record is from RNAcentral.
UACGUAGGGGGCAAGCGUUGUCCGGAAUCAUUGGGCGUAAAGAGCUCGUAGGCGGUCUGUCGCGUCGGCUGUGAAAACUCGGGGCUCAACUCCGAGCUUGCAGUCGAUACGGGCAGGCUAGAGUUCGGCAGGGGAGACUGGAAUUCCUGGUGUAGCGGUGAAAUGCGCAGAUAUCAGGAGGAACACCGGUGGCGAAGGCGGCUCACUGGUCCGGUACUGACGCUGAGGUGCGAAAGCGUGGGGAGCAAACGGG